This 414-nucleotide ribosomal RNA is filed under the name uncultured bacterium. Its description in RNAcentral is "bacterial SSU rRNA". It matches the Rfam family "Bacterial small subunit ribosomal RNA", at positions 917 to 1333 of the family's 1533-position model. The record is from RNAcentral.
GGGCCCGCACAAGUGGUGGAGCAUGUGGUUUAAUUCGAUGCAACGCGAAAACCUUACCUAUACUUGACAUACUUGGAAUGCUUUGUAAUGAAGCAGUGCCUUCGGGAGCCAAGAUACAGGUGCUGCAUGGCUGUCGUCAGCUCGUGUCGUGAGAUGUUCCGUUAAGUCGGAUAACGAGCGCAACCCUUACCCUUAUUUGCCAGCGAUUCGGUCGGGAACUAUAAGGGGACUGCCGGUGAUAAACCGGAGGAAGGUGAGGACGACGUCAAGUCAUCAUGGCCCUUACGAGUAGGGCUACACACGUGCUACAAUGGGAAAUACAGACGGACGCUAAGCCGCGAGGUGGUGCUAAUCCUAGAAAGUUUCUCGUAGUCCGGAUUGGAGUCUGCAACUCGACUCCAUGAAGUCGGAAUC